Molecule: ribosomal RNA, 520 nt
Filed under: Vibrio agarivorans
Lineage: Bacteria; Pseudomonadati; Pseudomonadota; Gammaproteobacteria; Vibrionales; Vibrionaceae
Description: bacterial SSU rRNA
Rfam family: Bacterial small subunit ribosomal RNA
Source: RNAcentral
GAAACGANUUAACUGACCCUUCGGGUGACGUUAACGGCGUCGAGCGGCGGACGGGUGAGUAAUGCCUGGGAAUAUCCCUUGAUGUGGGGGAUAACCAUUGNAAACGAUGGCUAAUACCGCAUAAUGCCUUCGGGCCAAAGAGGGGGAUCUUCGGACCUCUCGCGUCAAGAUUAGCCCAGGUGGGAUUAGCUAGUUGGUGAGGUAAUGGCUCACCAAGGCGACGAUCCCUAGCUGGUCUGAGAGGAUGAUCAGCCACACUGGAACUGAGACACGGUCCAGACUCCUACGGGAGGCAGCAGUGGGGAAUAUUGCACAAUGGGCGCAAGCCUGAUGCAGCCAUGCCGCGUGUGUGAAGAAGGCCUUCNGGUUGUAAAGCACUUUCAGUCGUGAGGGAAGGUGGUGUAGUUAAUAGCUGCAUCAUUUGGACGUUAGGCGACAGAAGAAGCACCGGCCUAACUCCGUGCCAGCAGCCGCGGUAAUACGGAGGGGUGCGAGCGUUAAUCGGGAAUUACUGGNGCGU